ACCCUAGUCCCAUCUCCUCCCUCCCCGCCGCCACUCUCUUCUGCAACCGCGCUGCUCUCCUCCGCAUGCUCGUCUCUAGGCCGGUGAUCGCUGGCCAAAAACUACCGUCGCCAUGCUGUGCUUCGUUGUCCCCAGCGCUGCAUCCUCGACGCUGCUCGACUCUCCUUGGUGAGCUCCGCGUCCUCCCGAACAUCUCCCAGGCCGCUCUUCGUUUUUCUUGCCGUGCUACCGGCGUUGAAGGCCGCCCUCUUUUCGCAGGACUUCGUCGCCGGCAAAACUCUGGCGUCUACGGUCUACCAGAGUGAAGUCCAGCCUUUUCUAUUUCCCCGACGCAGACCUCUACAUCAACACCGGCCGGCCGCCCGCCAAGUUCGCCGCGUGCUGUUUCAUGAUCCUCACCGUCGCCUCCGUUUCGCUGACGGGCUGUUUCGGCAACGUCGCUGCCUGGACCAACCUUCUCCGCCAACGAAGGUCGCCGUUCCAGGCGUUCUCGUCUCCGUCCGCUGCACUGAAGGCCAGCAUCAAAGCCACGCCACGGCCAAGCCGCCAAGCGCGCAUCCGCCGUCGACACUGGCCGGCCGGCUCCGUCCGCUUCCGUCGCCCCUCCAUCUAUCAGUAUCGCGUGUACCAGCAGGCAAAGGAGCUGCUUUGUUGGUUCAGUGUGGUGCAGUACACGGCCACGACAUGAUCUGAUGCUAGCUCAGCUGUUGGACCCACCCGUCAGUGACCUCCGGUGACACAUCUGCUGCAGAUCCCAGUCAGCUUCCCCAGGCCCCGUCUGUCAUCCCCUCUGGCUCGGAUUUGCUCGCAUUUGCUUCUUCGCGGAUAGGAUCACGAAGUUGUGUGGUGAGAUACGCCAAGUUCUCCGGAUGUUCCUCGGCAAGCUUUAACAG
Lolium perenne is the source of this 893-nucleotide non-coding RNA. The record is from RefSeq and is a predicted model, not a curated record. NCBI's taxonomy places the organism in Eukaryota, Viridiplantae, Streptophyta, Magnoliopsida, Poales, Poaceae.